Molecule: unclassified non-coding RNA, 427 nt
Filed under: uncultured Sistotrema
Lineage: Eukaryota; Fungi; Basidiomycota; Agaricomycetes; Corticiales; Corticiaceae
Description: sequence contains ITS2
Rfam family: 5.8S ribosomal RNA (bases 1-154)
Source: RNAcentral
AACUUUUGGCAUGGGAUCUCUUGGCUCUCGCAUCGAUGAAGAACGCAGCGAAAUGCGAUAAGUAAUGUGAAUUGCAGAAUUCAGUGAAUCAUCGAAUCUUUGAACGCACCUUGCGCUCCCUGGUAUUCCGGGGAGCACGCCUGUUCGAGUGUCAUGAAACUCUCAAGCAGCAUAGCUUUAUUGUUAUGUCUGUUUGGAUUUGGACUCUCCCGCUUUUACGAGUGGCUGGUCUUAAAUGUAUUAGCUGGCCCUUGUGAGUCUUGGUUCUACUCGGCGUGAUAAUUAUCUGACGUUGAGGACAGUCUUCGGACUGGCCAAGGUCUUCAAAGACCGCUUCUAAUCGUCUUCGGACAAUCAAAUUUCUACAUCUGACCUCGAAUCAGGCGGGACUACCCGCUGAACUUAAGCAUAUCAAUAAGCGGAGGCU